UGGCUAACUCCUACGGGAGGCAGCAGUGGGGAAUCUUAGACAAUGGGCGAAAGCCUGAUCUAGCCAUGCCGCGUGGGUGAUGAAGGCCUUAGGGUCGUAAAGCCCUUUCGCCGGGGAAGAUAAUGACGGUACCCGGUAAAGAAACCCCGGCUAACUCCGUGCCAGCAGCCGCGGUAAUACGGAGGGGGUUAGCGUUGUUCAGAAUGACUGGGCGUAAAGCGCGCGUAGGCGGAUCGGAUAGUUGGGGGUGAAAGCCCAGGGCUCAACCCUGGAAUUGCCUUCAAAACUCCCGGUCUGGAGUUCGAGAGAGGUGGGUGGAAUUCCGAGUGUAGAGGUGAAAUUCGUAGAUAUUCGGAGGAACACCAGUGGCGAAGGCGGCCCACUGGCUCGACACUGACGCUGAGGCGCGAAAGCGCGGGGAGCAAACAGGAUUAGAAACCCUUGUAGUCCAGCUGG
RNAcentral lists this ribosomal RNA (456 nucleotides) under uncultured bacterium. RNAcentral's name for it is "bacterial SSU rRNA". It matches the Rfam family "Bacterial small subunit ribosomal RNA", at positions 329 to 803 of the family's 1533-position model. The record is from RNAcentral.